RNAcentral lists this microRNA precursor (128 nucleotides) under Olea europaea subsp. europaea. The record is from RNAcentral. Lineage: Eukaryota; Viridiplantae; Streptophyta; Magnoliopsida; Lamiales; Oleaceae.
GAAGGUCCCAUGUAUUUAAUAAUUCACCAAUUAAAUAACGUGCCAUGUCACCGGUGCUUAACUUAUGUUAAGCAUUAAUGACAUGACAAGCCAUUUAAUUGGUGAAUCAUUACAUAUAUGAGACCUAC